CCAAAGGCUCUUUUAAGAGCCACUCCAUACACAAUAAAAGGAGCUG
Molecule: regulatory RNA element, 46 nt
Organism: Corvus brachyrhynchos (American crow)
Lineage: Eukaryota; Metazoa; Chordata; Aves; Passeriformes; Corvidae
Rfam family: Histone 3' UTR stem-loop
About the family: The mRNAs of metazoan histone genes lack a poly-A tail. 3' end processing occurs at a site between a highly conserved stem-loop (modelled by this family) and a purine rich region around 20 nts downstream (the histone downstream element, or HDE). The stem-loop is bound by a 31 kDa stem-loop binding protein (SLBP - also termed the histone hairpin binding protein, or HBP).
Source: Rfam